AGUGAACGCUGGCGGUAGGCCUAACACAUGCAAGUCGAACGGCAGCACAGUAAGAGCUUGCUCUUACGGGUGGCGAGUGGCGGACGGGUGAGGAAUACAUCGGAAUCUACUUUGUCGUGGGGGAUAACGUAGGGAAACUUACGCUAAUACCGCAUACGACCUACGGGUGAAAGCAGGGGAUCUUCGGACCUUGCGCGAUUGAAUGAGCCGAUGUCGGAUUAGCUAGUUGGCGGGGUAAAGGCCCACCAAGGCGACGAUCCGUAGCUGGUCUGAGAGGAUGAUCAGCCACACUGGAACUGAGACACGGUCCAGACUCCUACGGGAGGCAGCAGUGGGGAAUCUUGCGCAAUGGGCGCAAGCCUGAUCCAGCCAUACCGCGUGGGUGAAGAAGGCCUUCGGGUUGUAAAACCCUUUUGUUGGGAAAGAAAAGCAGCAGGUUAAUCCCCCGCUGUUCUGACGGUACCCAAAGAAUAAGCACCGGCUAACUUCGUG
Molecule: ribosomal RNA, 492 nt
Filed under: uncultured bacterium
Lineage: Bacteria
Description: partial 16S ribosomal RNA
Rfam family: Bacterial small subunit ribosomal RNA
Source: RNAcentral